Long non-coding RNA from Numida meleagris (helmeted guineafowl), 2557 nucleotides. NCBI's taxonomy places the organism in Eukaryota, Metazoa, Chordata, Aves, Galliformes, Numididae. The record is from Ensembl.
CAGAUACACUCCUCCUGGCAGGUUGCAUGGGCACCCAUCAGGCAGCACCUGAUUUGAAUUUAAUUAACAUCACUAUUUAAGUGCUUUUAUUUGCUUUGAGGUAAUACCAAGAGGUCACAGCUAGUGCUGGGAGCUGAAUGCACAGAAGUGGGAGAGGCGAUGAUAGCUUGUUUCCAGCCCAGUCUUAUGGAUGGAUCUUGGACUCGUGCUGUUGCUGCGCUUUUGGCACUACAUGUUUUUGGCUCCUAUGUGGAUUCCUUAGAUGGCUCAUGGGGUCCAUCCAUCACCUUGUGUUCUCUGGGGCUGUGGUAUUCCUUAACACCCAGCUUGCCUUCUGUUAUGGAGAAGCCCAACUCGUGACAUCAGAACAGAGCUGCCUACACCAGAGGAGUUUCUGUUGAGGAGAGAGCAAGGAAAAAAGGCCAUCCUUGCUGCCUGCAGUGUGGAAGAGAGAUAUUCAGCAGCCUUCAUCCCAGAAGAGGGACAGAAAGAAAUCAUGGGACUACCUGUGGCUUUCUCACCUCUGAGCCCACCAACCCGCCGCUGCAGCAGGAGGGCAGCAGGGGCUUCCCCGUCGGCGCUGCUCUGCGGGAGGCUGCAGCCACUCGUGGAUGUCUUGUGCCACCGCGCGGUGCUGCCGCCGCACUGCCGCCGGGCUGAGCCCGUGAAGAGCCUACAGCCCGAAGAACCAGAAACACGGCCUUCGAGCUGCUGCUGCCUGCACGGCUUCCCACCUGCCGGUGUUCUAAGAGCUCUCGAGGAGAAACCAGCAAGUGGCCGAGGAGAUGGGGUCCGCUGAAAGAUGGGAUCGUACCCACCCCGACCCAAGAGGCAGCAAAAACCCAAAGUGAGGAUAGCCCUUUUUGUACUACUGAGCUGAUAUUUUCAUCUGAGAGACAUGAGGAAACAGCGUUGUUUUUUAAGCAAUCAAUGAGCAAUCUUUGCAUCCCUGAAAUUGGACCAGAGCAAUAUUCUGCGCAGCUGUCUCCUGCGGUCUGGCUCCUGGCUGAUUCUGAGCUCUGGAAAACUUUCUCACUAUUAAAUGAUGAUAACAUCAGUGAUGUUAAUGAGGAAAUAGACGCUUAAUGGCGUUCUAACAUAUUUUUGAGAUUGCAUUACGUUUUUCAGGAGACUCCACCAGGGAAGGAUCUGUCUCUCAGACAUGAAAACUCAGUUUCCCCUGGUUUCCUGAAGAAGCAGUGUUUGCAGGAGUAUAAGUAUCUCUGCCAUUCCUUCCUUCUGUUUGACUGUUGUUUGCACAGUAGACAUUUCAAAGAUUCGCAAAAUGUAUGGGAAUUUGGAAAAUAAGAAAAGAUCAGAGAGACACUCGGAGUAAUUUGCCCAGAUUAAAGAGUGGAGUAGGAACUGACCCUUCAUUAGUCAUCAAAGCAUGCUCUUGGGGGGGCAGCUGGAAUACACAAGUCCAGAGAAUAACCGUUUCCUUCUGAUGUGCUGCUCACAAGAUUACAUUAUUCUUCCCUAUACACACAAAGACAAAGGUGGAAAUCACCGUAGUUCUCACACUUCUGCAGUUUUGUAACUUGAGUCAUUUUUAUAAGGUUGAGACAAUACUCUCAAAUUGUUGGGAUGGCAUCUUUGAAGAAUUAGGGCUGCUUUUCUGAUCUAGACAAUUCUGUUAUUUCUAUUUUAUGUUUUUUUUGUAACAAGAAAUUACUGAAAAUCUAUGAUCCAGUAUUUAUAUAUUAUAAACAUCUUCAUAUGGGCUGGUUAAGCAAUAUAGAUUUCAGAUGACAAUCUAAAGAACUCACUGCUCAAGAUAAUUAAUUUGUAGGUAUGAGGCCCAAUACUGAUCUCCAUGUUCCUAAUGAAAAAUAGCCUACCUAGUGAGUUGUCACAGUCAAGCCAGCUAGAUAUCUGUAUUACCUAUAGGAAAUAGCUAGAUCUUGAAAUCAGUUCAGUAAAAAAUAUGUAUAUCCAAACAAAGAACAUGACUAAAAGAAUGUACCACAAAAAGAGGUGAUGGCUUACCAGGAGACCUGAAAAGGGGCCAACUGCCUCAAGCCAUUCUUAGUUUUUUGGGUUUUUUUAAUUAAUAUUCAGAUCUUUCCAAUCAUAGGUUUUGGAUUUAUGAAACGAUAGUUUGAACACACCUACACUAUAUGUAAGCCAAAAUAGAAUAUUUCUAUACAGCCAUACAUGUUCCUCUUGAUUCAUUUCACCUCCUCUUUCCUGCUCUAAUUGUCUUCUGGAAGUCAUUUUGGCAAUUUAUGUUUUUCCGAGUAACAAGGGCCUAUGGUUUCCAUGCCAAUUAGCAAUUCAGUCAACUCCAUCUUCUUUUCACUUUCGGUUUUCUUUCAUCUUCUCAAUUUCAUCUGCCUUUGACUCCUGGAAACAAUUCACUUUGACUUGAAGAUUUUUUCUUAUUAUUAAUACAAUGCCUCAUUAGAUUAAUCUCUGCUUAGAACACAUGUCCUUUGCGCUCACUACUCGUAGACAACCGCUGAAAAGCAGCUGCCUCCGAUGUGCAUUUGGUGGCUGAUGAAGGUCACUUUCUUAAAAAAAAUAAAUAAAAAUAAAAAUCAAAUUUCCUUCUACA